UAUGUACUUCCAAGACCCAAA
RNAcentral lists this non-coding RNA (21 nucleotides) under Caenorhabditis elegans. Lineage: Eukaryota; Metazoa; Nematoda; Chromadorea; Rhabditida; Rhabditidae. The record is from RNAcentral.